UGGGGAAUAUUGCACAAUGGCCGGAAUUCUGAUGCAGCGACGCCGCGUGGGGGAUGAAGGCUUUCGGGUUGUAAACUCCUUUUGAUGCUGAACAAGGCUCUUUUUAGGGUUGAGGGUAGGUGUUGAAUAAGCGCCGGCUAACUACGUGCCAGCAGCCGCGGUAAUACGUAGGGCGCGGGCGUUGUCCGGAAUUAUUGGGCGUAAAGGGCUCGUAGGCGGUUUGUCGCGUCUGCUGUGAAAGACCGGGGCUUAACUCCGGGGUUGCAGUGGGUACGGGCAGACUAGAGUGCGGUAGGGGUAGCUGGAAUUCCUGGUGUAGCGGUGGAAUGCGCAGAUAUCAGGAGGAACACCGAUGGCGAAGGCAGGUUACUGGGCCGUUACUGACGCUGAGGAGCGAAAGCAUGGGGAGCGAACAGG
This 417-nucleotide ribosomal RNA is filed under the name Fusobacteriota bacterium. RNAcentral's name for it is "Fusobacteria bacterium partial 16S ribosomal RNA". It matches the Rfam family "Bacterial small subunit ribosomal RNA", at positions 355 to 776 of the family's 1533-position model. Lineage: Bacteria; Fusobacteriati; Fusobacteriota. The record is from RNAcentral.